Molecule: non-coding RNA, 115 nt
Organism: Triticum urartu
Lineage: Eukaryota; Viridiplantae; Streptophyta; Magnoliopsida; Poales; Poaceae
Source: Rfam
CAAGUACUCCCUCCGUUCGGUAUUACUUGUCGUAGAAAUGGAUGUAUCUAGACGUAUUUUAGUUCUAGAUACAUCCAUUUCCGAGACAAGUAAUUCCGAACGGAGGGAGUAGCUA